Long non-coding RNA from Brachypodium distachyon (stiff brome), 691 nucleotides. RefSeq lists it as uncharacterized. NCBI's taxonomy places the organism in Eukaryota, Viridiplantae, Streptophyta, Magnoliopsida, Poales, Poaceae. The transcript has 2 exons. The record is from RefSeq and is a predicted model, not a curated record.
CACCGCUCUCGAAAGGCAUGAGCUACAAAAUUACUCACCGAGAUGUAGGAAAGGGAAGAGAAAGAUAAAUUUUGAGCACCUACGCUUCGUCUCACGGUAUCUCUUCGUGCCUGCGGUCAUGCCGCGGUCCACCCUCAAUCGCGUGCCGCAUCCCGCGGUCCCUACCUCGCCGGGCUCACCAGGGUCCACAUGGCUACCUCUCUACCCAGAUAGUCCCGACUCCCUACGACGGCCGCGCUCACAGCAAUCUCCGCCGCUGGCAACGCCGCGUUCCGGCGCCGGUGCGCUAGCCGGACCUCGACUCAGGCAGCACCGGCGGCCUACAGCGACCCGUUCAAAUCUAGAAUCUGAAGUAUCUCUUCGUUACUCCUAUUUGGCUACUCUGAAUUAGGAACUCUGUGCCGCUUUUCAGAUAAACUGAACAUGGUUAUGGGGACAUUAGUAAACACACAGGAUUGCAGCACAUUUCGAAAAAAGAUCGACAAAUAUGAGAAGAUGGGGAAAAGAACUAGUUAUCAUGGGGUGGAGAGAUAUUUCUUACAUAUCUUUCUUUUGUUCUUUGAGUGUGCCCCUGCAAAGUUUCAACAUUGGUGCUCAUCAGUAAUGGGUACAUAAAAGAUGCAUUAUUGAUACAAUGUAAAGCUUGCGCACUACAUAAUAUAACCUAUAGACUUUAUGACACACAUUUGAA